GUCCACGCCGUAAACGAUGUGCACUAGAUAUGGGAGGUAUUGACCCCUUCCGUGUCGCAGCUAACGCAUUAAGUGCACCGCCUGGGGAGUACGAGCGCAAGCUUAAAACUCAAAGGAAUUGACGGGGGCCCGCACAAGCGGUGGAUUAUGUGGUUUAAUUCGAAGCAACGCGCAGAACCUUACCUGGGCUUGAACUCCUGAGAAUCCUCCCCAAAAGGAGGAGUGCCCUUCGGGGAAUUCAGU
RNAcentral lists this ribosomal RNA (243 nucleotides) under uncultured bacterium. Its description in RNAcentral is "partial 16S ribosomal RNA". It matches the Rfam family "Bacterial small subunit ribosomal RNA", at positions 793 to 1032 of the family's 1533-position model. The record is from RNAcentral.